RNAcentral lists this transfer RNA (74 nucleotides) under Bos taurus (domestic cattle). It matches the Rfam family "tRNA". Rfam says of the family: Transfer RNA (tRNA) molecules are approximately 80 nucleotides in length. Their secondary structure includes four short double-helical elements and three loops (D, anti-codon, and T loops). RNAcentral also lists the same sequence under 1 other name. Lineage: Eukaryota; Metazoa; Chordata; Mammalia; Artiodactyla; Bovidae. The record is from Rfam by way of RNAcentral.
GUCUCUGUGGUGCGAUCGGUUAGCGCAUUUGGCUAUUAAUCAAAAGGUUCAUGGUUCGAACCCACCCAGGGACG